AGCUGAAUAGCUCAGUGGUAAGAGCAAUCGCCCGGCAAGCGAAAGGGGUCGAUUCCCGAUUCAGCGA
RNAcentral lists this transfer RNA (67 nucleotides) under Camponotus floridanus (Florida carpenter ant). It matches the Rfam family "tRNA". Rfam says of the family: Transfer RNA (tRNA) molecules are approximately 80 nucleotides in length. Their secondary structure includes four short double-helical elements and three loops (D, anti-codon, and T loops). Lineage: Eukaryota; Metazoa; Arthropoda; Insecta; Hymenoptera; Formicidae. The record is from Rfam by way of RNAcentral.